RNAcentral lists this ribosomal RNA (642 nucleotides) under Cochliomyia hominivorax (primary screw-worm). RNAcentral's name for it is "partial 12S ribosomal RNA". The record is from RNAcentral. Lineage: Eukaryota; Metazoa; Arthropoda; Insecta; Diptera; Calliphoridae.
UAUUCAUUUAAAUAUUUUUAUUGUAACCCAUUUCUACUUAAAUAUUAGCUACACCUUGAUCUGAUAUAUUUUCUUUUUAAAAAUUAUGAAAAUUAACAUUCUUAUAAAAUAUUCUAAUAACGACGGUAUAUAAACUGAUUACAAACUUAAGUAAGGUCCAUCGUGGAUUAUCGAUUACAGAACAGGUUCCUCUGAAUAGACUAAAAUACCGCCAAAUUUUUUAAGUUUCAAGAACAUAACUACUACUACCUUAGUUUUUAAAUUUACAUUUUAAAUAAUAGGGUAUCUAAUCCUAGUUUAUUAUUAAAAUUUUCAAGCUUCAAUUAUUUUAUAUAAAAAAUUUAUAAAUUUAAAAUUUCACCUAAUAAAUUUAUUCUUAUUUUAUAAAUAAACAACUUAACUUUAACCAAAGAAAAUUUAUUUGCAUUAUUCGUAUAACCGCGGCUGCUGGCACAAAUUUAGCCAAUACUCUUUAAUAUUACUAUUUCUAAGUUUCCUUAAUUAAUAAUACUAAUUACUGCGAAUACAAUUAACUUAUUUAUUAUUUAAAUAAAUAAAAAGUCACACAAAAAUUUACAUGUAAAUUAAAUUAAUAAUAAAUUUACAAGCCAAAAUAAAACUUUAUACCAUCAAUUAUAAAAU